Molecule: ribosomal RNA, 494 nt
Filed under: uncultured bacterium
Lineage: Bacteria
Description: partial 16S ribosomal RNA
Rfam family: Bacterial small subunit ribosomal RNA
Source: RNAcentral
ACGAACGCUGGCGGCGUGCCUAAUACAUGCAAGUAGAACGCUGAAGGAGGAGCUUGCUUCUCCGGAUGAGUUGCGAACGGGUGAGUAACGCGUAGGUAACCUGCCCGGUAGCGGGGGAUAACUAUUGGAAACGAUAGCUAAUACCGCAUAAGAGUAGAUGUUGCAUGACAUUUGCUUAAAAGGUGCAAUUGCAUCACUACCAGAUGGACCUGCGUUGUAUUAGCUAGUUGGUGAGGUAACGGCUCACCAAGGCGACGAUACAUAGCCGACCUGAGAGGGUGAUCGGCCACACUGGGACUGAGACACGGCCCAGACUCCUACGGGAGGCAGCAGUAGGGAAUCUUCGGCAAUGGACGGAAGUCUGACCGAGCAACGCCGCGUGAGUGAAGAAGGUUUUCGGAUCGUAAAGCUCUGUUGUAAGAGAAGAACGAGUGUGAGAGUGGAAAGUUCACACUGUGACGAUAUCUUACCAGAAAGGGACGGCUAACUACGUG